Molecule: ribosomal RNA, 253 nt
Filed under: uncultured bacterium
Lineage: Bacteria
Description: partial 16S ribosomal RNA
Rfam family: Bacterial small subunit ribosomal RNA
Source: RNAcentral
GACGGAGGAUGCAAGUGUUAUCCGGAAUCACUGGGCGUAAAGCGUCUGUAGGUGGUUUAAAAAGUCUGCUGUUAAAAAUUGAAGCUUAACUUCAAAGGUGCCGUAGAAACUUUUAAACUAGAGUAUGAUAGGGGUAGAGGGAAUUUCCAGUGGAGCGGUGAAAUGUGUAGAUAUUGGAAAGACCACCAAUGGCGAAGGCACUCUACUGGGCCAUUACUGACACUGAGAGACGAAAGCUAGGGGAGCAAAUGGG